Molecule: ribosomal RNA, 309 nt
Filed under: Ophiothrix fragilis
Lineage: Eukaryota; Metazoa; Echinodermata; Ophiuroidea; Amphilepidida; Ophiotrichidae
Description: partial 16S ribosomal RNA
Rfam family: Bacterial large subunit ribosomal RNA
Source: RNAcentral
CAACGGCUUGACGAUAAGAAAGCUGUCUCUCUUUACUAGACUCUGAAGUUAGCUGGAUAGUGAAGAGACUCUCUUAGCAAAGCGGGACGAGAAGACCCCGUUGAGCUUUAGUAAAAAUUGUUUAUUAAAAACUUGAUUACUUGAGUUGGGGCAACUAUCUUUCUUUUUUAAAACAAAGAUAAAAAUGUUUUGAGUUGAUUCUUUUAUGACCCUUAAUCUUAGGAAUAGUAGAAAAAGUUACCACGGGGAUAACAGCGUAAUUUUUUUUGAGAGUUCUUAUUGACAAAAAAGUUUGCGACCUCGAUGUUG